GGGGCCGGGACCUUGGCGGGGAAGCGGUAGUGGGGCCGGGAGCGCCAGCCGGCCGGCGCGUGUCAGGCGCCAUGUCGGAACAGCAAUUUGCUAUGGACUCGGCGGUCGUGGGCGUCGGCGGCAGCUCGGCGGAGCCGGCCGAGCAGCCUGAGGGGCUGGCGGGGGCUGGACCGGGGGGCGCCGAUGGGGGAGGCGGCGGCGGCGGCAGCAGCGGCGGCGGGAUAGAGUCGGAGGGAGCCAAGAUUGACGCCAGCAAGAACGAGGAGGAUGAGGGGAAAAUGUUUAUUGGCGGCCUUAGCUGGGACACUACAAAGAAAGAUCUGAAGGACUAUUUUUCUAAAUUUGGUGAAGUCGUAGACUGCACUCUGAAGUUAGAUCCCAUCACUGGGCGAUCAAGAGGCUUCGGCUUUGUACUCUUCAAAGAAUCUGAGAGCGUAGAUAAGGUCAUGGACCAGAAAGAACACAAGCUGAAUGGAAAGGUCAUUGAUCCAAAAAGAGCUAAAGCCAUGAAAACAAAAGAACCCAUUAAAAAGAUUUUUGUUGGGGGUUUAUCUCCAGAUACACCUGAGGAGAAAAUAAGGGAAUAUUUUGGAGCUUUUGGUGAGGUUGAAUCAAUAGAGCUCCCCAUGGACAACAAAACUAACAAGAGGCGUGGAUUUUGCUUCAUUACUUUCAAGGAGGAGGAACCGGUGAAGAAAAUAAUGGAAAAGAAAUACCACAAUGUUGGGCUUAGUAAAUGUGAAAUAAAAGUUGCCAUGUCAAAGGAACAAUACCAGCAGCAGCAGCAGUGGGGAAGUCGAGGAGGAUUUGUUGGAAGAGCUCGAGGAAGAGGCGGAGGCCCCAGUCAAAACUGGAACCAGGGAUAUAGCAACUACUGGAAUCAGGGGUAUGGGAACUAUGGCUACAACAGCCAAGGUUAUGGAGGUUAUGGAGGGUAUGACUACACUGGUUACAACAACUACUAUGGCUAUGGUGACUAUAGCAAUCAGCAGAGUGGUUAUGGGAAAGUAUCUCGACGAGGAGGUCAUCAAAAUAACUACAAACCAUACUAAAUUAUUCUGUUUGCAACUUCCCCAAACAGCGGGAACUUCCUUGCAGGCCCUGUGUCGCGCUGACUUCACGAUUCUCACAGGCCCGCUCAAUGCGGACAGGGUACGAGAUGCUCACGCUCUCGAAUGCUGCCGUUUGGUAUGGUCUCUUCCAACAUCCUGUAUCAGCAUUAUAAAAUAAAAUGGAUACUUCAAGCUUUGCCUUCACUUAUUUCUUUGCUUUUAAAAUUAUAUGUAAUGUAAUUUUAAUGCAUUUUUUACAGGCCCAGUAAUGGUUAAAUACGUCACCUUACUGAAUAAUUUUAACUUUGUUCUUCUAAGGAUACAGCUUGUCUCUGGAUUUUCCAGUCUUAAUUUUAUAUUUUAUUAAUCUAUUUAAUGCUUGCUUUUCCCAUUUAUAGACAUUGUAGCAGUAAUUGCAAGAAGUUCUUGAGCUGAAUUCCUGUUGUGUCGAGUUCUCCUUAGCUUCUGAAACACAAUCCUACUACAGUAGUUAAUGUGGAGACACAGUAUUUUCUCGUUUGAAGAUUCAUUUGAGGUGGCACAUGCUACCAGCUAAUAGCAGUUAAAACUAAUUUUUGUAUCAAGACCAUGAACUGGAAGUAAGACGUUGGGUCUCUCUGAAGUUUAAUCGAGUUUUCAUUAAGACAAAAUUGCUUUCAUGGUCCUAUUUUUUAUUUGCUCUGCUUAAGAAUCAACUUGGUUUAUUCCCCUUCCUCAGUAUUGUAGUACAAGUCUUGUGUUGAAAAGCCCAGUGUGACAGUGUCAUAAUGUAGUAGUGUCUUACUGUUUUUUUAAUAAAUCUUUUUGUAUAAACAUG
RNA transcript from Calypte anna (Anna's hummingbird), 1869 nucleotides. It is a transcript of the gene named heterogeneous nuclear ribonucleoprotein D, with no coding region annotated. NCBI's taxonomy places the organism in Eukaryota, Metazoa, Chordata, Aves, Apodiformes, Trochilidae. The transcript has 9 exons. The record is from RefSeq and is a predicted model, not a curated record.